UGAGGAAUAUUGGACAAUGGGCGCAAGCCUGAUCCAGCCAUGCCGCGUGCAGGAUGACGGUCCUAUGGAUUGUAAACUGCUUUUGUACAGGAAGAAACAUCCCGACGUGUCGGGACUUGACGGUACUGUAAGAAUAAGGAUCGGCUAACUCCGUGCCAGCAGCCGCGGUAAUACGGAGGAUCCAAGCGUUAUCCGGAAUCAUUGGGUUUAAAGGGUCCGUAGGCGGUCUGGUAAGUCAGUGGUGAAAGCCCAUCGCUCAACGGUGGAACGGCCAUUGAUACUGCCAGACUUGAAUUAUCAGGAAGGAACUAGAAUAUGUAGUGUAGCGGUGAAAUGCUUAGAGAUUACAUGGAAUACCAAUUGCGAAGGCAGGUUACUACUGGUGGAUUGACGCUGAUGGACGAAAGCGUGGUAGCGAACA
Molecule: ribosomal RNA, 421 nt
Filed under: uncultured prokaryote
Description: bacterial SSU rRNA
Rfam family: Bacterial small subunit ribosomal RNA
Source: RNAcentral